RNAcentral lists this transfer RNA (67 nucleotides) under Pseudochirulus canescens (Lowland ringtail). Its description in RNAcentral is "tRNA-Pro". The record is from RNAcentral. Lineage: Eukaryota; Metazoa; Chordata; Mammalia; Diprotodontia; Pseudocheiridae.
CAGGAAGUAGUUUAAUUAGAAUGCUAGCUUUGGGUGCUAGGGGUAAGACUUUUAGUUUUCUUCUUGA